AUACGUAGGGGGCGAGCGUUGUCCGGAAUGAUUGGGCGUAAAGGGCGCGUAGGCGGCGCGGUAAGUCUGGAGUGAAAGUCCUGCUUUCAAGGUGGGAAUUGCUUUGGAUACUGCCGCGCUUGAGUGCAGGAGAGGUUAUCGGAAUUCCCGGUGUAGCGGUGAAAUGCGUAGAGAUCGGGAGGAACACCAGUGGCGAAGGCGGGUAACUGGACUGCAACUGACGCUGAGGCGCGAAAGUGUGGGGAGCAAACAGGAUUAGAUACCCUGGUAGUCCACACUGUAAACGAUGAAUGCUAGGUGUAAGAGGUAUCGACCCCUUUUGUGCCGCAGUCAACACAAUAAGCAUUCCGCCUGGGGAGUACGGCCGCAAGGUUGAAACUCAAAUGAAUUGACGGGG
This 397-nucleotide ribosomal RNA is filed under the name uncultured bacterium. RNAcentral's name for it is "partial 16S ribosomal RNA". It matches the Rfam family "Bacterial small subunit ribosomal RNA", at positions 523 to 918 of the family's 1533-position model. The record is from RNAcentral.